CUUUUGAUGGCGACCGGCGCACGGGUGAGUAACACGUAUCCAACCUGCCUCAUACUCGGGGAUAGCCUUUCGAAAGAAAGAUUAAUACCCGAUGUUAUAGUCCUACCGCAUGAUGGGAUUAUUAAAGAAUUUCGGUAUGGGAUGGGGAUGCGUUCCAUUAGUUAGUUGGCGGGGCAACGGCCCACCAAGACAACGAUGGAUAGGGGUUCUGAGAGGAAGGUCCCCCACAUUGGAACUGAGACACGGUCCAGACUCCUACGGGAGGCAGCAG
RNAcentral lists this ribosomal RNA (271 nucleotides) under uncultured bacterium. Its description in RNAcentral is "partial 16S ribosomal RNA". It matches the Rfam family "Bacterial small subunit ribosomal RNA", at positions 78 to 354 of the family's 1533-position model. The record is from RNAcentral.